This is a long non-coding RNA of Carassius auratus (goldfish), 1384 nucleotides long. RefSeq lists it as uncharacterized. The transcript has 5 exons. The record is from RefSeq and is a predicted model, not a curated record. NCBI's taxonomy places the organism in Eukaryota, Metazoa, Chordata, Actinopteri, Cypriniformes, Cyprinidae.
UCGUAAGGAGUUAUGAACGUGAAAUAGUGACACAGACUGGCUACACCAUCUCAUCUGCAGCAGAGAUUGUUAUGUAUGUUGUAUCAGAAGGACAGCGCGUUUGUUUGACGCACUUUUCACUUCAACUGUGUCUGACAGGAGAAUUAGCUUUCUGAACCUUCUAGCCGUUGAGUUACCAUGGCAACCGCGUAUACAUCAGCUGCUGGAAAGGAGAGGACUCGUCUGACAUUUUCUCUGUUUCUCGUCAGUUAUACCAAAGAAAAGGCCAACAACUGCGACAGAUUGUGAUUUCAGGAGUGUCUUAAAAACCCUCUAAAACAGAGGAGAAGUUCCAAGAAAAUGUCUAACGGGAGCUGCUGACAGAGAUAGAAAACACAGGAGCUGGAGGCCGUGAAGAUACAGAUCCAUGAUAUUGUGGAGAAGCAGGCCCAGCUGAGCGAGUGGAGAGCUGUGCUGGAAAUAUUCAGGGGUUGAUGCUCAUAAGUCCAGGGUAAGUAUACAGCUAACCCUACUACCACCUCUACUCUGUGUGGUUCUCUGCAAAGGCCCGGUGUACCCAGGAUGCGAUCUUCCCAGAUGUCCUUCACCCUAUUUCAUAGUGUAAGACAUGAUCCAGGCCCUGGGCGACGACCUCUCUCCAUCCGCCGCCUCCGGUCUUCAGGAUCUCCACCAGAACCCGAUUCGCUCCACUUCGCGAGACAGAACACAACACAACACUGUGAUCAUCAGAGACUCCAUCGUCCGGCACGUUUGCGCUAUGUUAGCUGAAGGUAAAGUCCACACUGACUACUUCCCUGGUGCUCAUGUUCUUGAUAUUUCUGCACAGAUUCCCUGAAGAGUGAGGUGGGCAUCAGAGCGGACGGAGACACUGAAGAGGGACUUCAGGAGCCUGAUCAAGACAGUGCGCAGCAUAUCGCCUGCAUGAUGAUCAUCGUGUCAGGACCACUUCCCACGUAUAGAUGAGGACAUGAAAGGUUCAGCAGACUUUUUGCUUUAAACGAAUGGUUAUAGUCAUGGUGUAAAGAACAGAAACUGCCUUUUGUUAAUAAUUGGAAUAUUUUCUGGGAGCUAGGCUUUUUAGAUCUUCUGUUGGACAACAUCUCCAGGACACUUCGCUCCAUAUGACUAGGCAGUUUGUGAAAAGAGAUCAUCAAGAGAAGUCAGUUCCAGAUCCACCCUCCACACCAGACCUCUCUCUCACGAGGAUUGCUGUCUACAAGCAUAUUGUGUUCUUCAGCUCUUCAGACUUCGGUGGAUGCAGAUAUUACUCAGGGACAUGAACACUAGAAUAUUGCAAGAAUAGAGAAAGUAAGAAUUACUUAAGAUUUUAGAAUUUAAUGUUAAUUGCUUAAACAUAUACAGUAUUGUUCAAAAUAAUAGCAGU